AUGAACGCUAGCUACAGGCUUAACACAUGCAAGUCGAGGGGCAGCAUUUCAGUUUGCUUGCAAACUGGAGAUGGCGACCGGCGCACGGGUGAGUAACACGUAUCCAACCUGCCGAUAACUCGGGGAUAGCCUUUCGAAAGAAAGAUUAAUACCCGAUGGUAUAAUCAGACCGCAUGGUCUUGUUAUUAAAGAAUUUCGGUUAUCGAUGGAGAUGCGUUCCAUUAGGCAGUUGGUGAGGUAACGGCUCACCAAACCUUCGAUGGAUAGGGGUUCUGAGAGGAAGGUCCCCCACAUUGGAACUGAGACACGGUCCAAACUCCUACGGGAGGCAGCAGUGAGGAAUAUUGGUCAAUGGGCGCAGGCCUGAACCAGCCAAGUAGCGUGAAGGAUGACUGCCCUAUGGGUUGUAAACUUCUUUUAUAUGGGAAUAAAGUUUUCCACGUGUGGAAUUUUGUAUGUACCAUAUGAAUAAGGAUCGGCUAACUCCGUGCCAGCAGCCGCGGUAAUACGGAGGAUCCGAGCGUUAUCCGGAUUUAUUGGGUUUAAAGGGAGCGUAGGUGGACAGUUAAGUCAGUUGUGAAAGUUUGCGGCUCAACCGUAAAAUUGCAGUUGAUACUGGCUGUCUUGAGUACAGUAGAGGUGGGCGGAAUUCGUGGUGUAGCGGUGAAAUGCUUAGAUAUCACGAAGAACUCCGAUUGCGAAGGCAGCUCACUGGACUGCAACUGACACUGAUGCUCGAAAGUGUGGGUAUCAAACAGGAUUAGAUACCCUGGUAGUCCACACAGUAAACGAUGAAUACUCGCUGUUUGCGAUAUACAGUAAGCGGCCAAGCGAAAGCAUUAAGUAUUCCACCUGGGGAGUACGCCGGCAACGGUGAAACUCAAAGGAAUUGACGGGGGCCCGCACAAGCGGAGGAACAUGUGGUUUAAUUCGAUGAUACGCGAGGAACCUUACCCGGGCUUAAAUUGCAUUUGAAUAUAUUGGAAACAGUAUAGCCGUAAGGCAAAUGUGAAGGUGCUGCAUGGUUGUCGUCAGCUCGUGCCGUGAGGUGUCGGCUUAAGUGCCAUAACGAGCGCGACCCUUAUCUUUAGUUACUAACAGGUCAUGCUGAGGACUCUAGAGAGACUGCCGUCGUAAGAUGUGAGGAAGGUGGGGAUGACGUCAAAUCAGCACGGCCCUUACGUCCGGGGCUACACACGUGUUACAAUGGGGGGUACAGAAGGCAGCUACCUGGUGACAGGAUGCUAAUCCCAAAAGCCUCUCUCAGUUCGGAUCGAAGUCUGCAACCCGACUUCGUGAAGCUGGAUUCGCUAGUAAUCGCGCAUCAGCCAUGGCGCGGUGAAUACGUUCCCGGGCCUUGUACACACCGCCCGUCAAGCCAUGAAAGCCGGGGGUACCUGAAGUACGUAACCGCAAGGAGCGUCCUAGGGUAAAACUGGUAAUUGGG
This 1447-nucleotide ribosomal RNA is filed under the name uncultured organism. RNAcentral describes it as "SSU rRNA". It matches the Rfam family "Bacterial small subunit ribosomal RNA". The record is from RNAcentral.